CGGGAUGCUCCAGCAGUGGGGAAUAUUGCACAAUGGGCGCAAGCCUGAUGCAGCCAUGCCGCGUGUAUGAAGAAGGCCUUCGGGUUGUAAAGUACUUUCAGCGGGGAGGAAGGGAGUAAAGUUAAUACCUUUGCUCAUUGACGUUACCCGCAGAAGAAGCACCGGCUAACUCCGUGCCAGCAGCCGCGGUAAUACGGAGGGUGCAAGCGUGUAAUCGGAAUUACUGGGCGUAAAGCGCACGCAGGCGGUUUGUUAAGUCAGAUGGGAAAUCCCCGGGCUCAACCUGGGAACUGCAUCUGAUACUGGCAAGCUUGAGUCUCGUAGAGGGGGGUAGAAUUCCAGGUGUAGCGGUGAAAUGCGUAGAGAUCUGGAGGAAUACCGGUGGCGAAGGCGGCCCCCUGGACGAAGACUGACGCUCAGGUGCGAAAGCGUGGGGAGCAAAUAGGAUUAGAUACCCUUGUAGUC
Molecule: ribosomal RNA, 465 nt
Filed under: uncultured bacterium
Lineage: Bacteria
Description: partial 16S ribosomal RNA
Rfam family: Bacterial small subunit ribosomal RNA
Source: RNAcentral